Molecule: ribosomal RNA, 415 nt
Filed under: uncultured bacterium
Lineage: Bacteria
Description: bacterial SSU rRNA
Rfam family: Bacterial small subunit ribosomal RNA
Source: RNAcentral
UGGGGAAUCUUGCGCAAUGGGCGAAAGCCUGACGCAGCAACGCCGCGUGCGGGAUGACGGCCUUCGGGUUGUAAACCGCUUUCAGCAGGGACGCGGUACCUGCAGAAGAAGCCCCGGCCAACUACGUGCCAGCAGCCGCGGUAACACGUAGGGGGCGAGCGUUGUCCGGAUUUAUUGGGCGUAAAGAGCUCGUAGGCGGCUCGGUAAGUCAACUGUGAAAGCUCGGGGCUCAACUCGGAGAGGCCAGUUGAUACUGCUGGGCUAGAGUCCGGUAGGGGAGCGUGGAAUUCCUGGUGUAGCGGUGAAAUGCGCAGAUAUCAGGAGGAACACCAGCGGCGAAGGCGGCGCUCUGGGCCGGAACUGACGCUGAGGAGCGAAAGCGUGGGUAGCAAACAGGAUUAGAUACCCUGGUAGU